GCUUUAAUAGUUUAAAUAAAAUGUUAUAUUGUGGAUAUAGAGAUAUGUAUAUUUAGAGCA
Molecule: transfer RNA, 60 nt
Filed under: Pseudoniphargus sp. 6-Morocco B
Lineage: Eukaryota; Metazoa; Arthropoda; Malacostraca; Amphipoda; Allocrangonyctidae
Description: tRNA-His
Source: RNAcentral